RNAcentral lists this ribosomal RNA (465 nucleotides) under uncultured bacterium. Its description in RNAcentral is "bacterial SSU rRNA". It matches the Rfam family "Bacterial small subunit ribosomal RNA", at positions 338 to 795 of the family's 1533-position model. The record is from RNAcentral.
CCUACGGGUGGCAGCAGUCGAGAAUUUUUCUCAAUGGGCGAAAGCCUGAAGGAGCGACGCCGCGUGGAGGAUGAAGGUCUUCGGAUUGUAAACUCCUGUCAUCGGUGAGCAAAACCGAACCCUAAUACGAAUUCGGUAUUGAUAGUAGCCGAAGAGGAAGAGACGGCUAACUCUGUGCCAGCAGCCGCGGUAAUACAGAGGUCUCAAGCGUUGUUCGGAAUUAUUGGGCGUAAAGGGUGCGUAGGCGGCAGAGUAAGUUGGGUGUGAAAUGCCGAGGCUUAACCUCGGCACUGCAUUCAAUACUGCUCCGCUCGAGCGCUAACGAGGAGGUUGGAAUUUACGGUGUAGCAGUGAAAUGCGUAGAUAUCGUAAGGAACGCCAGUGGCGAAAGCGAACCUCUAGAUAGUUGCUGACGCUGAGGCACGAAAGCUAGGGGAGCAAACGGGAUUAGAUACCCGUGUAGUC